GAUGUAUGAAAAUGUGGGUUCUGAAACACGUGUGGGUGCUGUUAUUUGCGAUGAAUUGUGAAUGUUUUGUUGAUCUUGUUGAUGAAUUUGGAGGCAACGCGACGAUGAGUGAGCGUCCUUUUUAUGAUUACGUGGCUUCCAAUGCAAUUAAUGAAGAUACAGGCGCCCAGAAAUCAUGCGCCGUCAUGGACGUCUCAGGGGGAUAUCAAAGUGUCUGGUGGAAAGUGUGGCUGCAGAGGAAUUUCAACGUUGCUGAAAUAAAGAUCCAUUUUCAACCAGCUAGUAAUGUUUUCACUCUACGAGUAAAUGGGAAAAUACGUUAAAAGCAGAAUGCAACACACAAACGGGAAAUUGAAAUAAAUAAUAAUUGUUGUUUAACACCCACUACCCCACGCUUGAGGUUUUAAUCGUGUGGAAAAUGAGGCAUAUGUUGUAAAUACAGUGUGAAAUCAACUUCUCUUUCAGUUCCCUCACUUUUUUGUCGAAAUACUAUGCUACCUGUCUGAAACAUGACUUGACGAAUUUAAUAAUAUCUAAAAUUAUUUGUUUCAGCGAUAUAUUGGUCAACAGGAUUUUUAAUAUACGUUUUUGACAAUGAAUCCUUUAUACCCCCUAAUGAUGUGACAGGACGUCUAGUGUACCAACAUGACCCAUCUACCGGGUGUUUACUACAGCAUAUGAAUAUAACUGUGCACAGCACACGGCAUCGCUUUCUAUAACACUAGAGAAAGGGUCCUACAAUCCAACUGUAACGACAAAAAUGAAAAUAGACAGUUCGUAGAGAUUUGUGAAGUCAAUGUACUAGGUUGUGAUGCCACGCGAUACAGUGAAAAUUGUUCUCAUGAAUGUGACAGAAUAUGUCUAAACCAACACUGUGAUGCCUAUAAUGGUGAAUGUAUAUAUGGAUGUAGUGAACCGCAUCGUGCUGGACCACAUUGUACAGACUGCCAAAAGGGAUACUAUGGCGUAAAAUAUACACAUAAAUGUGGUCACUGCAUCGACAAACACGACUGUAAUAAGACAACUGGCGUCUGCUUCAAAGGAUGUCUGCCGCACUGGAACGGGCCGAAAUGUGAUGUAUAUCCUGACUCGAGCAGUUUAGCAUUUGCCAAAUAUGAGAAAGGUUCCUCCAGUGGAUUGCACAUUGCUAUAAUCUCUGUUACCCCAACACUCCUGGUCAUCUCCGUAUUGGUGAACGUUAUUCUAGUUUUCCGCAAACAGAGACGGCAAUCCUCAACACAGCAUGUAAAUAACCAACCAGAACAAACUCAUACCGAAAUGGAGGAAACACGAGAGUACGACAAAAUAGGUGUCAGAAAUACGGACGAGUAUCAAGAGAUGUCGCCCACUGUCAUUGACCAAUCUCCUCAAGACAGAGCUUCCGCUUAUAUCAACUUAUCGUGAUAAGUAGCGCAUUUUCCCACACAAAUAAUUGUAUCUUCUUUUGAGAUAACGAUAAGGACACCUGUUACCUAAUUGACAAUCCUAUCAAGUUUUUUUUUUAUGGUUUAGUAGAAUAAAGUUAAGAAGUGUUAUCCGGAAGUAAACAUAUUUUAUCGACACUGAAAUGGUAUGUCUAUUCUGAACUUUACCUCAAGGAUUGUACCAUGUUUUUGUUUAUAUAUAGAUUGCUUAUUAUAGAAUAUAACGUUUAAGACAAAAUGAGUGGUGCCAAACUCUAGAAGCUGUUUCAUUGGGUUCGGAAUUAACUUUCAAAUAAAAAAUAUGCCUUAAACGGAACUUGUACUUGCAUAUUCAGUCUAUGUAAACAAAAAAUGCCACGCGCCUUGUUUACAUAUCAAUGAAUUCUGAGCUCUGUAUCUCCCAAACACCGUAUUAACUGACACUCAACUUCUUGUUGACCGCCAGAAAUACUUCAUCUUAGCCUUCUAAACAAUAAAAAGGAAAAAAGAAACAUAAUUUGAAAAGGUUCAGCUCAAAUCCUGCCCAUGUCCCUUUCAAAAUCAUAGAUAACAUAAAACAAAACUUCAACUAACUUACUAAUGUUAAACAAAUUGAAACCGUGUAUAGUGUUUUAUUUUUCGAUAUUCCAUAGUCAUGAUAGUUAUUUCUUAAUCAGUUACACUGUCACUGGACUACCAGUAAGAUAUUUCCUCCAAUCAGUUUUACUAUUACCGUACUACAAAUACGAAAUUUCUACUUAAUCGAUUACACUAUUACCGAACUACCUCUACGAUACGUGAAAAGUGUUGAUCACUCUCAAUACUAGCUGAGGUCCGUACAUGUGUCAGCCGAAUUAUAUAUCCGGUGUCCAGGUUGAUAUAGCACCUCACUAAAUAUUCAGGGGGCCCGGGUUCGAAUGUCAGUGUGGUCCGUUGCAUUUAACCCCUCCCGUUAUUUCCUGGAACUGACAGGUGAAAAUGCCUGCCACGGGGUAAAAAUCCUUGGUUGAUCUACCCAAGUGCAUGAGAUUUUUAGUUAUCUUCAAAUUCAGAUAUCCCGUGGUGAUCAGGGUUAGAAUAAAUCCUCAGUACCCCCUUGCUUGUCGAAAGAGGCGACUAAAUGGGGCGGUCAUUCGGAUGAGACUGCAUAAACCGAGGUCCCGUGUCAAAGCAGGAGCGGUACGAUUAAGGUCCCUCCCUGCUCAAUGGCCAUAAGUGCUGAACAUAGGCUUAAAUUUUACAGCCUUUCACCAGUGGUGACAUCUUCAUAUGAGUGAACUAUUCUGGAUAGGGACGUUAUACAAUAUUAAUGAAUUAAUCAAUCAAAUUCGGAGACUUUCCUUAUUUGUAAUGACAAUGCCUAUGGCGUGCUGACGUUAAUUUCUCGAAUCAAACAUCACUGCAUGGUAACUAUGAUUUCCACGGUGUGGAAACUAUGCGCAAACUAUGUGAAAACUUAAGAUAAGAAAUGGCUUACGUAAGGUUUCAGUUUGGGAACCUCAAGUUUACAAGGGUUUGCGGAGUGCAUAAACCUAGGCCGUCCACAAUUCUAGGUGGUUUAAAUACCGGAAACUCGCUGAAACCUAGGGUUUCUGUACUAUUUCCGCACUACUGAAACUAGUCGCCACCUUAGGUUCCCACGUUUCCACACUAUUCACUUUACAGUCAAGGUUUAUGCAGUGCAGAAGCCCCCAGAAACUUAUGAACAUGAAUAGCCAACCCUUUUCUAAAAUAUAAUAUAAUUGAAUCAAGGCUAUAUACAUAAAGUCACACUUUAGUAUUUGUGAUACAUAUUAUGCUCCUGAACUUUACAAAUCAUUCAACAAUGGUUUGUGCAAACUAGUUCUCUAUUAAUUGAAUAAAUUGUUUUAAAUCUAAGAUAUUACCAACCACACAGACGUUUGGAUAUUACUUUAGGAUUUCUGGGUUUUUUCUUCGGUAGGGAAAUUAACCCCUUUGCUUUUGAGCAAAAUCUCGAAGUUUGUUUUAACUGUUUAAGUACUAGCUCAAUACGUAUUUCAUUGAUUCACACAUAUUAUGCAUUUAUUACUUAAUCUUACUCAGUUCAAACUAUGUUUUACUAAUUCUUUACAAGAAAACUAUGUUUUACUAAUACUUUACAAGAAAUACAAGACAGAGCUCUUCUAAUUUUACCAAUUUUGGUAAUCAUACUUAUACUCCAACUGCCCUUUCAAAAGACGAAAUUCUUCAAAACCAUGCUUCAGUUUUAGACACAUUUAAUAUUCCAGUCAAUGGGUCGAAUGAAUAUGAGUUACCGUACCUAUACUGGAUUCCUAAACUACAUAAAAACCCUUACAAACAAAGAUACAUUACUGGAUCCAGUAAGUGCCCUACCAAGCCCCUAUCUUUGCUCCUUGCGAAAAUGUUAACAGCUGUGAAGGAGAAACUUCAAACUUACUGUGCGACUACAUCCAGAAGUGGUGUUAAUCAAAUGUGGAUUCUAAAAAAUUCUAAAGAACUUUUAGUAAACUUGAAAUCACAGAAUUUUUCCCAAAUCAAUAGCAUUAAAACCUAUGACUUUUCAACACUAUACACGACCAUUCCUCACGAUAAAUUAAAGACUAGACUUUUUGACAUCAUAGACAGUUGCUUCUUCAACAAAAGCGGAAAACGGAAAUAUUCAUAUCUAGUGAUCAGUCAUUCAAAAACUUACCUUGUUAAACACCACUCUGAUUCCACGCACAAGUACUCUGAAGUUGAAAUAAAAAAUAUGCUAGAGUUCUUCAUUGACAAUAUCUUCGUGGUCUUUGGUGAUCAGGUCUUCCAAGAGUCUGUUGGAAUUCCCAUGGGCACGAACUGUGCUCCUUUGUUAGCUGACCUGUUUUUAUAUUCAUAUGAAGCAGAAUUUAUUCAAAAACUUCUACGUGAGAAGAAAAAAUCUCUCGCUUCAUUCAUAUGUCGAUUUGAUAUAUACCUGUGAGUUGGAAAAAAAGAACACCACAGAGUCGCCCACUUCUGCUUCAUACUUAGAUAUUUUAUUGAAAUUAGACAUUAACGGCAAACUGACAACUCACCUGUAUGACAAACGGGAUGAUUUCAGCUUCUCCAUCGUCAACUUCCCACAUUUAUGUAGCAAUAUUCCAUUAUCCCCUGCAUAUGGUGUUUAUAUAUCUCAACUGAUUCGAUAUGCAAGAGCUUGUUCUGGGUAUAGUCAGUUUUUAAAUCGGGGUAAGCCACUGACAAACAAGUUGAUGGUACAGGGAUUUCAACAUCUCGAUUGAAGUCAGCAUUUCGCAAAUUCUAUGGUCGUUAUAACGAUCUAGUUCGUUAAGACAACCUUGCAUUGGGUCAAAUGUUGUCUGAUGUGUUUCAUACCGAUUGUUAAGCCGUUCUUGGCAUACUGAUUUGACUGCGGAUAACUCCGUUUACCUGAUCAGGAUAUGGGGCUCACGGCGGGUGUGACCGGUCAACAGGGGAUGCUUACUCCUCCUAGGCACCUGAUCCCACCUCUGGUGUAUCCAGGGGUCCAUGUUUGCCCAACUAUCUAUUUUGUGUUGCUUGUAGGAGUUAUGAGAUUGAUCACUGUUCGUUAUCUUCACCUUGCAUUUAUGUUACAAGAGCCAAAACAGAAUAUUUUAGAAGAUAUUUGAUCAUUUCAGCAGCAAUUUUAUGGAACUCGUUACCCGAUUUUAUAAGGAAAUGCACAACUACCACAUAUUUUAAAUCAGCCUAUCUAAGACAUUAUCUUAAUCCUCAAUGAUGCUCAUGUUAUUGUCUCUUUUCAUUUAGUUCUUAUCUGUAUGUAUAUAAAUUGUGAUAUUUCCAUGCUUUGUGAUAUAUGGUCUCGAUAUGUAUAUAUGUUAUAGACAGGACCACAAUGUAAACUAGUUUAUACAACUAAUUGUGCAAUCCUGUAUAAAUAAAGGAUAUUAUUAUUUGUCAAUUCAGAUUUUAAAUGGGUUUGGAAAGGAAUUCAUGCUAUGGCGGAAGUAUUGUUUGAUAAAAUAAAAUAUUUACCUCUGUCAUUUCCUUGUUAUCGAGUAUUUUGUAUAUUUUUAUACCACUAUACACUCAUUUCAAAUUAAUUAUUUGCGAUUGAAAUAUUUCUUUCCUG
Long non-coding RNA from Ostrea edulis (European flat oyster), 5478 nucleotides. RefSeq lists it as uncharacterized. The record is from RefSeq and is a predicted model, not a curated record. NCBI's taxonomy places the organism in Eukaryota, Metazoa, Mollusca, Bivalvia, Ostreida, Ostreidae. The transcript is spliced from 6 exons.